This 497-nucleotide ribosomal RNA is filed under the name uncultured bacterium. RNAcentral describes it as "partial 16S ribosomal RNA". It matches the Rfam family "Bacterial small subunit ribosomal RNA", at positions 28 to 507 of the family's 1533-position model. The record is from RNAcentral.
GAUGAACGCUGGCGGCGUGCCUAAUACAUGCAAGUCGAGCGAACAGACGAGGAGCUUGCUCCUCUGACGUUAGCGGCGGACGGGUGAGUAACACGUGGAUAACCUACCUAUAAGACUGGGAUAACUUCGGGAAACCGGAGCUAAUACCGGAUAAUAUAUUGAACCGCAUGGUUCAAUAGUGAAAGACGGUGUUGCUGUCACUUAUAGAUGGAUCCGCGCCGCAUUAGCUAGUUGGUAAGGUAACGGCUUACCAAGGCAACGAUGCGUAGCCGACCUGAGAGGCUGAUCGGCCACACUGGAACUGAGACACGGUCCAGACUCCUACGGGAGGCAGCAGUAGGGAAUCUUACGCAAUGGGCGAAAGCCUGACGGAGCAACGCCGCGUGAGUGAUGAAGGUCUUCGGAUCGUAAAACUCUGUUAUUAGGGAAGAACAAAUGUGUAAGUAACUAUGCACGUCUUGACGGUACCUAAUCAGAAAGCCACGGCUAACUACGUG